CCAGGCGGAGCUGGGAAGGGAGGGCGGGGAGGUGCGUCUGCAGUCCCGGGUUCGGGCCCUAGUAGUCGGUGGCUGGUCGGUGACUGGGACCAGACCGUCGCCUCCUCCCUUUUACAGCUUUAAGUCUGUGACCCGAGGCCUCUCUGUAUAUUCCCGUGGGGUUGGGCCUAGUUGUCCUGGGAGAAACUAGAUGGAUGAGGAGUAUUUCCGAGACAGGUCCCAGGGCCAGCGCAGCCUUUUCUGUUGCAGAACCGCGACUGUUGUUUUGGGAUCCAGGCCGGAGGGUUUGUUGCUUGUGUUCAUUCCAGUUAACCAUUAGUACUCGAGAAGGUGGUACAGAACGCAUCUAUCCCCUUAGAAGAAAAGAAAUUAAAAGCCAAACUAAACUGGGAUAUAUAUUAAUAUAGGAAACUACCACUGAGACAUAGGAAAGUGUAUUAAAAUAUAACUAGUGAGGUGCUAUGUAUAAUUCAGAGGAAGGGGAAAUUAUGCAUGGGCCAGACUACUAACAAAAGGCUCCAAAGCCUGGGAUACGCUGAGGGCCUUUCCAUAACAGAAAAUGAAAAGGAACCUAAAUUUGAGACUAGAUUUGAGGAAAGGCACAGUUGCGCUGGAGUAGAAAGCGUCUGUCUACCGCAGUGGAAACGAUAUGUUAUUGUAUCCCCAGCACCAUACAAAGGACAUACAAGGGCCAAAUACUGUGGGAAUAUUUAUUAAUGAUAUUAAUGAUGAUGCUGUCCGGGCCAAAGGAAAACUUCCGCUUCACCUUCUGAAGUUUCGCUGAAAGUCACUGACAGGAGGCAGUUAAUAGGAGAAAAGACAUAGACAUUGAUUUGACCAUCGUUUUAUGUGACACGGGAGCCUUCAGAAUGAAGACCCAAAGAUAACAAGGGAAAUCGUGUAUUUGUAUGCUUAGGUUCAACAAAGCAUGGACAGCCGUAUAAAAAAAUGACUGGACAAGGCCGGGCGCGGUGGCUCACGCCUGUAAUCUCAGCACUUUGGGAGGCUGAGGCGGGCGGAUCACAA
Molecule: long non-coding RNA, 1026 nt
Filed under: Homo sapiens (human)
Lineage: Eukaryota; Metazoa; Chordata; Mammalia; Primates; Hominidae
Description: non-protein coding lnc-NUP153-3:6
Source: RNAcentral